CACUUGUACAAUUUUUCUCCAGUAUGUACUCUCAAAUGUCUUUUCAAAUGACCUGCUUCACUAAACUGCUUAAAACAAAUUUCACACUUGUGAGAUUUUUCUCCAGUAUGUACUCUCAAAUGUCUUUUCAAAUGACCUGCUUCACUAAACUGCUUAAAACAAAUUUCACACUUAUGAGGUUUUUCUCCAGUAUGUACUCUCAAAUGUCUUUUUAA
Diabrotica virgifera virgifera (western corn rootworm) is the source of this 215-nucleotide long non-coding RNA. RefSeq lists it as uncharacterized. The record is from RefSeq and is a predicted model, not a curated record. The transcript is spliced from 3 exons. Lineage: Eukaryota; Metazoa; Arthropoda; Insecta; Coleoptera; Chrysomelidae.